RNAcentral lists this long non-coding RNA (945 nucleotides) under Rattus norvegicus (Norway rat). Its description in RNAcentral is "long non-coding RNA NONRATT014957". The record is from RNAcentral. Lineage: Eukaryota; Metazoa; Chordata; Mammalia; Rodentia; Muridae.
UUCGGGAAUGGCAAAUGAAUAUUACUAAGAGGAGUGGUGGUAUCCCCCCUGCUUCCAGACUACCUGUGCAGUGGUCAGCGAUGUGGGAUCACACAACACAGUGCCACAGACCCUCCCAGGAUGCUGCAGUACUCAGUGACUGUUCUUUUACUAGGUGGCGGCUGUAAACUCUGUGGCUCCGUGGAACAUUUUAAGAAAGAUUGCCCUGAAAAUCAGAACUCAGAUCGAAUCAUCACAGUUGGUCGCUGGGCAAAGGGAAUGAGUGCAGACCACGAAGAUGUUCUGGAUGUGCCCAAACCACAGAAACCUAAAACAAAAGUACCCAAAGUAGUUAAUUUUUGAUAAGAAUUGGUACAGUUGUUAAGUACCAUCUCAAGGUUACUUCCCAAAGUAGGCCUUUAGAGAUUAAAGCUGGCCCGUGUGGGGGCAAACUUGUAUUAGAGACACGACUCUGACUUUGAUGGGGGUCAGGCUGCCUGCAGUCUGUCUAUUAAGGAGUACAGAGUGAUUGAUUAUAGUCUCUAGACGUGUGUGUGUGUGUGUGUGUGUGUGUGUGUGUGUGUGUGUGGUCUGUCUGCCUGUCUCUCUGUGCCUGUGUGUCUGUCUGUAUUUGAAACAGAGUCUAUGUAGCCCAGGUUGGCUUCAGACUAAUAACUGUGCACCAGGUCCAGAGUACUGAGAUUCAGGCAGUGUGAUUGAGAGCUUUUUUUAUCAGAUGGUACUUAGAAACAGCUAAGUGCCUCUACCUGAUGGUGGCAGUCACUGCUAUAAAUGUAAAUUAUGACUCAAAAUUGACCCCUAAACAAAGCACAUGCAUUUCAGCUUGUGAAUAAAUAUUUUGUUAUAUGCUCUUAAUUCAGAGUAUCAAUUUAUUGUCAUAGAAAUUUAUAUGUUGUCACAAAAUCUGUAAUUUUUAGUGCUGAAUAAAAUUAUAUCAGCUGUUUG